AAAAAUAGAAAAUAUAAUUGAUAUGCUGGUAAGCUGAAUCAUGUAUUUAUGAAUUUUAAAAAAAUGUUAAUUGCUUAGAUGCUUCUGUGUUCUCGACGAAAACACGAAAAUUAUACAGUAACUGAAUCGUUGAGAUGUACAUGAUAUUUUUCACAGAAACAAGUGAGAUAUUUUUCAAUCAUAGUUAUUUUAUCGAAGCUUUAAUAA
This 207-nucleotide long non-coding RNA is filed under the name Ananas comosus (pineapple). RNAcentral's name for it is "long non-coding RNA (ACOM_LNC000177)". The record is from RNAcentral. Lineage: Eukaryota; Viridiplantae; Streptophyta; Magnoliopsida; Poales; Bromeliaceae.